GUGAUUCUAAAUAUUUAGAAAUUACUAUCAAUUAAAACCAAUCUUAAAAGCCACUAUCAAAAGGAAAUUAAAAUUAUACAAAUUCUAUAGUAAUCUUUUUAAACAACCUCUUCUCAAGGUAAUAAUCAAAUUAUAUUCUAUAACUAAUUAAAAUCUACUAAUAUGGCUCUCACCAUAUUACUUAAUAAAUUAUAUAUUAAGUAC
This 204-nucleotide long non-coding RNA is filed under the name Physcomitrium patens. RNAcentral describes it as "long non-coding RNA (PPAT_LNC011587)". The record is from RNAcentral. Lineage: Eukaryota; Viridiplantae; Streptophyta; Bryopsida; Funariales; Funariaceae.